AGAAGGAGUACAAAGGUGGCAGGUGGUGGAGCCGGAGUCCGGUGCAUGGCGGUGACGACGGAUGCAGUGACAAAGAGGAAGAGUGGGUAUGAAAUUGAGACAUUGACUAACUGGCUGUUGAAGCAAGAACAGGCUGGUAUUAUUGAUGCUGAACUCACUAUAGUACUUUCGAGUAUUUCAAUGGCGUGUAAGCAGAUUGCUUCUCUAGUUCAAAGGGCAAGCAUUUCUAACCUCACUGGAGUUCAGGGUGCUGUUAAUGUCCAAGGAGAGGAUCAGAAAAAACUCGAUGUCAUCUCCAAUGAGGUAAUGUCUACCCCUGUAAAUACAGUAGUUUAACAUGGUAUCAGAGCUGGUGCAGUUGUUGAGCCGACUCUAUCCAUUUAUGAAGCACGUAGACAAGCAGAGCUUGAAAUUUCUGGGGAUUGUUUAAUACUAGAUUAAAUAAAUAAAUGUGCGUUAUUCUAACAGAUUAAGCUUUUAAACAGACUGGUUUAGUAGUAUGUUAUAAGCACGAUGUAAAUAUCAGGUGUUCUCUAAUUGCUUGAGGUCAAGUGGAAGGACAGGAAUUAUUGCAUCUGAGGAAGAAGAUGUACCAGUGGCUGUGGAAGAGAGUUACUCUGGCAACUACAUUGUUGUUUUCGACCCUCUUGAUGGAUCAUCCAACAUUGAUGCUGCUGUGUCCACUGGCUCGAUUUUUGGAAUUUACACUCCCAAUGAUGAGUGCCUAGCAGAUAUUGGAGAUGAUGCCACGGUAUACUGCAUUCUAUGUUUAUUUAACUAAUGAAAAUUUGUAGCAUAAGUCAAGACUGAAAUAAAAUCUACCGAAAAUAAGAAUUUUGUACAAUCUGAUCUGUUGCAGCUUGACAAUGUGGUACAGAGGUGUGUAGUGAAUGUGUGUCAACCUGGAAAUAAUCUUCUCGCAGCAGGCUAUUGCAUGUACUCGAGCUCUGUGAUUUUUGUGAUCACCUUAGGAAAAGGUGUAUAUGUGUUCACAUUGGACCCCAUGUUUGGGGAAUUUGUGCUUACUCAAGAAAACAUUCAGAUACCGAAGGCCGGAAAGAUUUAUGCUUUUAAUGAAGGGAACUACCAGUUGUGGGAUGAUAAAUUGAAGAAGUACAUUGAUGAUCUUAAGGAUCCUGGUCCAAGUGGCAAACCUUAUUCUGCUCGAUAUAUUGGUAGUUUGGUUGGUGAUUUUCAUAGGACUUUGUUAUAUGGUGGGAUUUACGGGUAUCCCAGAGACAAGAAGAGCGAAAAUGGGAAGCUUAGACUCCUGUAUGAAUGUGCACCAAUGAGCUUCAUUGUUGAACAAGCUGGUGGCAAAGGAUCAGAUGGGCAAAACAGAGUCCUUGACAUUCAACCAACCGAGGUGUGUCAAAUGAUACAAGGAAAUUUGAUUUCCGUUGCAAAUUGUUUACAUUAUAGUCCUCAAGUUUCAUCUUCCAGUUUUGAUCUUUUGUUGUAUUUUCGUGCAGAUACAUCAGCGAGUGCCCUUGUACAUUGGAAGUACUGAAGAGGUGGAGAAAUUGGAGAAAUAUUUGGCUUAAUUACAAUGUAAAAGGUUUAAUAUUGCUGAUAUAGUUUUCCCCCGUCUUUCAAGAAGAAAAAACAGCGGGAAUUCUUUCUUAUAUUCCUACUAAAGAGUUGAUUCUCAUGACUGCAAUGUUCUUUAUUAUUUAUUUCUGAACAGGCAACUUAACAUGAUUGGACACUACAAGGAAAUGGUCAUGAUCCAGCUAAUCUUUUGUAAAAUUGAGAUUGAACUGACAAAUUGUUUGACUUCAUCAUUGUCUAGCGUUUUCAGGUAAGUCGUCCGCCUAUCAUUAAACUUUACAGUUAUUGUAACUCAGUUUUGAAGUUGUGAAUGUUCCAAAAUUCGACUAAUAUAAGUCAAUCUUCCGGUUAACUACUCUCAUAGGCCUAAAAUUGCAAGUAUAUGACAUCCUUAUCUUAAAACCAUGGAUCAUCAUGGACCAAAUGCAAUAGCAAUAAUUUCAUCACUAAAAGAGUGAUUAUAGUAAACUUACAAUAGCCAUAAUAACAUUGUAGUUUUAAUGUUUUGAUUUUAGCUACUGAUAUGCAACCAAUAUUCAACAAGGAUGGUUGCCACCAGAACUGAACAAAGUUAAAUGACUUGCCAUCCUAACAAAUUACUAUGACUUCACAUAGUGCUGACGCAUAAGGACAACCUAAAACUGAAUAUCAGAGUAAAUAUUGUUGGGAGUCCUAAACUGGUACCAUAUCAAUAUAAAAAGUCAGUAAAUGGAAGUCUUCCAGGACCAUCUCUCCAUGUACGAGAGGGCGAUACGCUAGUCGUCCAUGUUUUUAACCUCUCCCCGUACAAUCUCACUAUUCAUUGGUAAGAUUCUCUCUCUCCCCCAUUUUAUAAAGGGUUGAACCCCAACCUUAAGGGUCUCCCACCAUCCCUGCCCUGGAAUAUCGUGAGGGAGGUAAAUCGCAAGUUAUGCCUCCAAGGGUACAGGGUGGAAGGCUGCUUGUACACUUAUACUUACCCAAGAGCCAAAUCCAUAUUUCAGGAUUCGAACCCUUGACACGACAGUUUCAAGUAAAGUUGGAUUUCUCCACCCUCCCCUUUUACCACUUAGAGAUGUACCCUGGGGGCAUAAGUAUUAGCAAUAUUUUCUCUCUCCCCCAUUUUAAUGAUCAUAAGCAGUUGAUCAUAUGAAAAGUGCUUUUCAUGGUAAAUACAAAUAUCUGGCCAUUAAAUGCAAAUAUUUUUCAAGUUGGUCGCUCAAUUCAAAUCUAUUAAUUUCAUUCAAACAAAAGGUAACGUGAUAAUCUAGUUAUUUGUCCAAUAUCUGACAACUAGUUGUCACAUGUGCUUUUCUACUCGUCAACUAAUAGAUAUGAACGAAAUAAUCGAAUUGCAACUAAUGUUCCAAAUUAGUAGCAAAUUUUGCAUGCAGCUAACUUGUGCAUGUUUAGAUUAAUAAUCAGGUCUCAUUAUCUGUCUUCAAUACAGUUGUCAUUUUUAAAAUUUAAAAAAAAAAAAAACAAAGAAAAAAGCAUAUGUAUGUCUUCUUCUUGAUAGAUAAAAUAUUCUUGAAGGUCAAGGAUAUUCGAAAUUCAACCACUAGACGAAUAAAUCAAAUCAAAACAAGGGAAUCGUCUAUUUCCAAACUUUUGAAGGCUAUUUUAAUUAUCUAUCAUUAUCAUUUGCAGAGGAUAAAUUAGAAUAUAUUUUGUGUAACAGGCAUGGAGUUUUCCAGUUACUCAGCGGGUGGGCUGAUGGACCCGAAUUCGCAACCCAGUGUCCGAUCCGGCCCGGACACAGUUACACCUAUAGGUUUAACAUUACUAGACAGGAGGGGACUCUCUGGUGGCAUGCACAUGUUCAGUGGCUCCGGGCGACAGUUUAUGGAGCCUUAAUUAUCCGACCCAGGGCUGGUCGGUCAUAUCCGUUUCCAAAGCCUCACAAAGAAGUCCCAAUUCUUCUUGGUAAUUAACUAAAUAAAUAAAUUUAUGUUUAUCUUUUAAUAUUUUAUACGAAUUUCAUUUUAUUCGUGUGAUUGCAGGAGAAUGGUGGAAUGCUAAUGUAAUUGAUGUAGAAAAUGAAGCUCUAGCCACUGGAAACGCACCUAAUGUAUCGGACGCGUACACAAUCAAUGGUCGCACCGGGGAUCUUUACCCAUGCUCUUCAAAUAGUAAGUUAACAUGCACAUGAUUUCUACUAAUUUUUAGCACUUUUACGUGAAGAUUUUGUUAAGUCAUAGAAAAUACUAUCAUUUGUAGCAGGGACAUAUCGGCUAAAUGUGGAACGAGGAAAAACAUAUCUCUUGCGUAUCAUCAAUGCCGCUCUCAAUAAUCAACUAUUUUUCAAAAUAGCCGAUCACAAAAUGACAGUAGUUGCAGUCGAUGCUGCAUACACAAAUCCCUAUGUCACCGACGUAGUGGUAACGGGGCCCGGACAAACAACCGAUGUUCUCUUGGAGACCGAUCAGCCACCAGCACUGUACUACAUGGCUGCAAAUCCCUAUGCUAGUGCAGCAGGAGUUCCAUUUGAUAACACUACAACAACUGGGAUUAUAGUGUACAAUGGUGCUACUCAAUCCACCCCAAAAAUGCCUAUCCUUCCAGCAUUUAAUGACACACCCACAGCCCACAAAUUUUUUAGCAAUCUAACUGGGCUUGUUACUGGGCCUUUCUGGGCCCCCGUACCACAAGAAGUGGACGAACGCAUGUUCAUAACUGUUGGGCUGGGCUUGGUUGCAUGUGGAAGCCCAGGGAACACAUCCUGCCCAGGCCCACUUGGGCAAAGAUUUGCUGCGAGCAUGAAUAAUGUAUCUUUCCAGUUUCCUAAUAAAUUGUCAAUGCUGGAGGCAUUUUUCAACAACGUCGGUGGAGUUUAUACCACCGAUUUCCCUAGUACUCCACCAGUGAGAUUUGAUUACACAAACCCUAAUAACAGCCUCAAUCGGGCAAUCAUAAUGACUACGAAGUCAACAAAAGUAAAGAAAGUUAAGUACAAUUCAACAGUAGAGAUUGUGAUGCAGAAUACAGCUCUAAUUGGGAUCGAAAAUCAUCCUAUACACUUGCAUGGAUUCAACUUCUAUGUUUUGGCUCAAGGAUUUGGCAACUUCAAUAGGACUAUGGACAGCAAAAAGUUCAACUUUGUUAACCCACAAGAGCGUAAUACCAUUGGAGUACCAGUUGGAGGAUGGGCUGUGGUUAGAUUUCGAGCAAAUAAUCCAGGUAAGUUAGACCGUCGUCAAUCUCAAACUUAAGAAUCCGUCCACCUUUGAGAAAAAAGAUGAACUUUUCUAAUUUCAUCUAGCAUGUUUUAUAUAACUUUACCUAUAUGUGAAGUUUGCAUAUAUUAAUAUAUUCUACAUUUGAAAAUGUGGUUAUUUUAGGUGUAUGGUUGAUGCAUUGUCACUUGGACGUACACUUGCCUUGGGGUCUUGCUACUGCUAUCGUUGUCGAGAAUGGACCGACCUCGUCAACAAGACUGCCGCCACCUCCUCCAGAUCUUCCUAAAUGUUAAUAUUCUUCAGAAAUAUUAUUUAUUAUUGUACUGUUAUUGUUUAUUUGAUUGUUUUUAUUUAUUUGUAACCUUGAUUUCAAUUUUACAUUUUUGUAAGUUUGAUAUGGUAUCGUGAGAAGUAAUAGUAUACAAAUGCCAACAUUUAUUUGAUUAAAUCGAUGUUAAUUUUCUAAAUCUAUUCAAACAAAACUAAAAAUUAAUUAAAAUCCGUGAAUAAAUAAAAUUUACAUGAUUUAUAAACUCAAUAUUUAAAUAAUUAAAAAUUUUCAAUUUAAAUAUUGGUUUUCCGCGAACCCAAUCCAAAACAAUGCAAGUAGCCGUUCUUCGAUAAUUUCAUUUAUAAUACUUGUAAAAAUUAUGAGAAUUAAAUUAAUUAAUUAGAAAGGCGAAGAAGCUGGUGCAUCGGCGACAGAACCAGUAGGUUCUUCGGCCACCAGACCAGGGGCGGCACCACCGCUGCUCAAAAGCUCCAACAUGGCACGGUGAGGCUCGGUCUUUUGUUUCUCGCACAGACGAGGUAGAUAUACUCCUUCUCCGGCGGCUAGGUUGAAAUAAAGGUCAACAAUAUUAGGGCAAUUUUGAUAACAUGCCGGCGAGCACAGGCUUUUGGUGAAUUGCGGUACAAGUAAUGCAUCUGAAGAUAUUCCGACGAAGCUCCGAUCAGCGCCACAAGCUUUUACACAUUGAUCGGUCUCUAUAUAUCCAGCCAUUCUCUCAACAACCACCUCCGACGUCUUGCAUGUAUAUUCCAGCUUUCCGACGUCGUCUUUGUAAUUCUCCAGCACACAUCUUUUACCCGAUGAUGCGAUUGCAAAUGAACAAAAAUUCGUCGGCAAAUUGUCGCAAAUCACCUCAGCUGAUACAGAGAAAGAUACAUAUUAAAAAUUACACAUUUAUUUACAUAAAUAGAGAGAGAGAGAGAGAGAGAUUGGGAUGUACCGAAUGCUCCUUGGAGGAAGAGGGAGAGCGCAAAGAAGAGGAUGAAUGGCGAUUUGAUUGAAGAAACAGCCAUGGCUUUAAUUUGAUGCAUUGUUUUCUGAUUUGGGGAAGAUCGUGAAGAAUAAAUGGGUUUGCGAGAAAAAUUCAAUGGAUGAGUUGUGUAUAUAUGAAGUGGUGGAGGAGAAAGUUUAUUGAGUUAAAUUGGAAAUGGUGCGAACGAAAUUCCAUAAAAAGGUAUAAGUUCCGACAAAGGCGGUUAUCUAAGGAGACAUCGUUGGCCGGAUUUUCACUGGUUUCUGUGUGGUUUCUUGUUAAUGGACGUGAUUGCCUGCAUUUGAAGGUUCCAACCGUUUAUUACACACACAUUUAGGAAAAUCCAUCGAAAUUGUAUUAAUACAAAAACGCUUAAGACAAAAUUUUAAGGUUAGACAAAACUCCCAAAUUGAAUCGAAUCAAAUUGGAGCCGAACUAAAUUGAAUAGAACUGAGCAGUUAUUCUAAAAUUAAAUACGAGAACAGGCAAUCAGAAUCUACAACCGAUGAAUUUGAUUCGUUUCUCGAUUCUAGAUCAAGAACCGAAUAAGAAUCGAAUCUCCUUAAUUUUUUUUUAAUUUCUUUUAUUCAACAAGCCAAAUUAUUUUAAUUUUUUUUCCUGUUUUAUUUGCCAACUAAUAAAUUGAGCUUAAAAAUAUCAUUAUCCUGUUUCAUUUAUCAACUAACUAAUUGAGCCUAAAUUAUUAUUUUCCUAUUUUCAGCCCAAACUCAACUUUGUAAUUCAAAUUUCAAAUAAUCAAAAUUGAGUGAACUAAGGUUUUUUUUUUUUUUUCAACACUUUAAUCAAGUAAGUUGUAUAAAUUGCCGAAUAGAUAUUAUUAGAAACUUAUUAUUUGUAUAUUUUUAAAUUAAACUAUGUUUAAGUAUUAAGAUAGUGUUGUUAUAAAAGCUAAGAUUGAUUAUGACAUUAAUUGGAUUAAUCAAGUAUUGUUGUAAAUGUUAAAAGUUUUAAUUAUGGUAUGGAAUCUAACCGAACAAAAAGAUUUUAUAAUUAAAUUUAGACCUGGCGAUUCCACUUACGAAAUAUCUAAAAACUUGGAUUCGGUUCCGAAUUGAAUUGGACUAUAUCCAGUCCUAAGAGAAAUAAUAAUGAUAUUAAUCUAAAGUUAUCGUCAUCGUCAUCGUCGGUCUAUAUGAGCUGGAGAUACUCUGCCACGAAUAUCUAGUGGCAGGUUAAUCAAGAUAGUUUUAUAAACGAACACAUAUUAGGCCAUAAAAUCAAUUAAUCAUAUGCCGGUUUGUCCGAACAAAGAAAAAUGUAUGACUCAAUGAGAUUAAAGCAAAGCAAUUUGACAUCAUCUAGACAAAUUAUAGGUAAGCGUUUAGAAAGCGCAGACGAAAGUGCCCAUUAUUAAUCAUUAAUCACCACCAUUUCAAGUUAGUCAACGAUGGAUCGACAAUACAUCAGCGUCAAUAGACUCAACACAUAAGUGGGAAAAAGCACGUCAAUAAGGUGAGAAUGCCUCAUGCAGACCUUGAACUCUAUAAAUACUCUCAAAUUUUACAGAGCUAAGGUACGUGAAAUCUAAGACGCUUAGCCAAAAUUCUGUCAACCUUUCUCCCCCUAGGUUGCACAAAAAAGAAAUGGAACAAAUAGGAUACUCAUAAACAUUAUUUCUGAAAAAUAGGACACGAAAUGUCACGAAAACGUAUAUUAAAACUAUUAAUUUAUUUUCAAAAAUUAAUAUUUAAAUUCAAGAAGCCAUUCAAUAUUAAGUAAUAAAACUAACUAAAUGAAUUUAAUAUAACUAGACUUUUAAUAUAUAAUUAUUUCCAUCUUAAAUAAAAGGAAUAUCCGCGUCUCAACUUGAGAGGAAGAUAAGUGGGACCUGAUGAGCAGAAAUUGUUACCAGCCAUACAAUCUAAAAAUAAAAAUUCAAGAAAUGAUACAAACCUGAGUCACAAAUUGGGGGAGAAAAGAUUUUGUAAGAGAGAAAACUAAAAGGUAGCCAAGAAAAAUAACCAUGACUGCAACUUCAUCAGCAUCACAUCUUCUCUUUUCAAGUUCCCAAUCCAUUAUUUCUCGUUUCUCCCCCUUCCAACUAUGCAGGUUGGACGCCAAGACUCUCAACGGUGGCGUCAGAAGGAGUACAAAGGUGGCAGGUGGUGGAGCCGGAGUCCGGUGCAUGGCGGUGACGACGGAUGCAGUGACAAAGAGGAAGAGUGGGUAUGAAAUUGAGACAUUGACUAACUGGCUGUUGAAGCAAGAACAGGCUGGUAUUAUUGAUGCUGAACUCACUAUAGUACUUUCGAGUAUUUCAAUGGCGUGUAAGCAGAUUGCUUCUCUAGUUCAAAGGGCAAGCAUUUCUAACCUCACUGGAGUUCAGGGUGCUGUUAAUGUCCAAGGAGAGGAUCAGAAAAAACUCGAUGUCAUCUCCAACGAGGUAAUGUCUACCCCUGUAAAUACAAUAGUUUAAGUGGAGUUGUUGAGCCGACUCUAUCCAUUUCUGAAGCACGUAGACGUGCAGAGCUUGAAAUUUCGGGGGAUUGUUUAAUACUAAAUUAAAUAAAUAAACGUGCGUUAUCUCUAGCAGAUUCAGCUUUUAAACAGAUUGGUUUAGUAGUAUGUUAUAAGCACGAUGUAAAUAUCAGGUGUUCUCUAAUUGCUUGAGGUCAAGUGGAAGG
This 8619-nucleotide long non-coding RNA is filed under the name Olea europaea (common olive). RNAcentral's name for it is "long non-coding RNA (OEUR_LNC010272)". The record is from RNAcentral. Lineage: Eukaryota; Viridiplantae; Streptophyta; Magnoliopsida; Lamiales; Oleaceae.